Long non-coding RNA from Ochotona princeps (American pika), 374 nucleotides. RefSeq lists it as uncharacterized. The record is from RefSeq and is a predicted model, not a curated record. The transcript has 4 exons. NCBI's taxonomy places the organism in Eukaryota, Metazoa, Chordata, Mammalia, Lagomorpha, Ochotonidae.
GGCUGGCAGGGCCUAGGGGGCAAGACCCAGGGGCGUAACGCCAACUGCCCACCAGGUUGCCUGACCUAUUUGGGGGGAAGAGGCAAAGGUGCAUUGUAGUGUCACAAUCCCGCAGCGACGUGAACCCUGGCUUUCUUUUUGGCAGAGUCAGAGAGAGGAAGUUGGAGAAUCUUCCGUCCCACUGGUUCACUCCUCAAAUGGCCACAAGCAUUGGAGCUAGGCUGAUCCGAAGGCAGGACCAGAAGCUUCCUCCCACCCUCCAUGAGGCAACUCUCAGGCCCACUGAUGCCAGGCAUCUCUCCAUGUGGGGUUGGCAAAAUCAGGGGCAAAAGUUUGCCAUAAAAAUGAAGGUGCCUGUGCUAAUAACUGGCACC